CCCUUAGAUGUUCUGGGCAGCACGCGCGCUACAAUGGUCUUCGCAAACGGAUGCAUUCUCGAAGGAGAAUGCCAAUCUUGGAAUCUAUGCCUUGGUCGGGACAGUUGCUUGCAAUUUUUCGACUCGAACCAGGAAUUCCUUGUAAUCGGGAUUCAUCACAUCACGAUGAAUACGUCCCUGCCCUUUGUACACACCGCCCGUCGCUCCUACCGAUCGAAGAGUUAGGUGAAUUGUUUUGAUCGAUAAGAUUUGACUAUGGUCAACUCUCGUUGUGAAAUUCUGUGAAUCUGACUGUUUAGAGGAAGGAAAAGUCGUAACA
RNAcentral lists this ribosomal RNA (319 nucleotides) under uncultured eukaryote. RNAcentral's name for it is "partial 18S ribosomal RNA". It matches the Rfam family "Eukaryotic small subunit ribosomal RNA", at positions 1470 to 1796 of the family's 1831-position model. The record is from RNAcentral.